RNAcentral lists this ribosomal RNA (435 nucleotides) under uncultured bacterium. RNAcentral describes it as "partial 16S ribosomal RNA". It matches the Rfam family "Bacterial small subunit ribosomal RNA", at positions 29 to 507 of the family's 1533-position model. The record is from RNAcentral.
AACGAACGCUGGCGGCAGGCUUAACACAUGCAAGUCGAACGCAUGCCUUCGGGCAUGAGUGGCAGACGGGUGAGUAACGCGUGGGAACCUACCCCUUGGUACGGGAUAGCUCCGGGAAACUGGAGAUAAUACCGUAUGUGUCCUGAGGGACAAAGAUUCAUCGCCACGGGAUGGGCCCGCGUCGGAUUAGCUAGUUGGUGGGGUAACGGCCUACCAAGGCGACGAUCCGUAGCUGGUCUAAGAGGAUGAUCAGCCACAUUGGGACUGAGACACGGCCCAAACUCCUACGGGAGGCAGCAGUGGGGAAUAUUGGACAAUGGGCGCAAGCCUGAUCCAGCCAUGCCGCGUGAGUGAUGAAGGCCCUAGGGUUGUAAAGCUCUUUCAACGGUGAAGAUAAUGACGGUAACCGGAGAAGAAGCCCCGGCUAACUUCGUG